RNAcentral lists this ribosomal RNA (253 nucleotides) under uncultured bacterium. RNAcentral describes it as "partial 16S ribosomal RNA". It matches the Rfam family "Bacterial small subunit ribosomal RNA", at positions 524 to 776 of the family's 1533-position model. The record is from RNAcentral.
UACGUAGGGAGCAAGCGUUGUCCGGAAUCAUUGGGCGUAAAGCGCGCGUAGGUGGCCUCAUAAGUCCGCUGUGAAAGUCAAAGGCUCAACCUUUGAAAGCCGGUGGAUACUGUGGGGCUAGAGUACGGAAGAGGCGAGUGGAAUUCCUGGUGUAGCGGUGAAAUGCGCAGAUAUCAGGAGGAACACCGGUGGCGAAGGCGGGUCUCUGGGCCGAUACUGACGCUGAGACGCGAAAGCGUGGGGAGCGAACAGG